GACGAACGCUGGCGGCGUGCUUAACACAUGCAAGUCGAACGAAGUGGCGAACGGGUGAGUAACGCGUCAUCAACCUGCCCUUCAGAGGGGGACAACAGUUGGAAACGACUGCUAAUACCGCAUACUGAAGGAGGUGAUUGCGUCUGAUUAGCUAGUUGGGGGGGUAACGGCCCACCAAGGCGAUGAUCAGUAGCCGGGCUGGUGGUAUGAACGGGCAAAUUGGGAAUGAGGCACGGGCCAGACUCCUACGGGAGGCAGCAGUGGGGAAUCUUCCGCAAUGGACGAAAGUCUGACGGAGCAAAGCCGGGUGAGUGAUGACGGCCUUCGGGUUGUAAAGCUCUGUUAAUCGGGACGCGGUACCGGAAUAGAAAGCCACGGCUAACUACGUGCCAGCAGCCGCGGUAAUAC
This 408-nucleotide ribosomal RNA is filed under the name uncultured bacterium. RNAcentral describes it as "partial 16S ribosomal RNA". It matches the Rfam family "Bacterial small subunit ribosomal RNA", at positions 28 to 526 of the family's 1533-position model. The record is from RNAcentral.